This 505-nucleotide ribosomal RNA is filed under the name uncultured bacterium. RNAcentral's name for it is "bacterial SSU rRNA". It matches the Rfam family "Bacterial small subunit ribosomal RNA", at positions 19 to 518 of the family's 1533-position model. The record is from RNAcentral.
AUGGCUCAGGAUGAACGCUGGCGGCGUGCCUAAUACAUGCAAGUCGAUCGCACUACUUCGGUAGUGAGAGGCGAACGGGUGAGUAACACGUAGGUAACGAUAUCUAUAUGACGACGGAUAACGGUUGGAAACGACUGCUAAGACUGGAUAGGAGUAGAGGAGGCAUCUCGUUUUACUUUAAAGGACUUUUCGGAGUACGCGUAUGGAGUGACCGUGCGGCGCAUUAGUUAGUUGGUGGGGUAGUGGGCCUACCAAGACGAUCGAUACGUAGCCGGACUGAGAGGUUGAACGGCCACAUUGGGACUGAGACACGGCCCAGACUCCUACGGGAGGCAGCAGUAGGGAAUUUUCGGCAAUGGGGGGAACCCUGACCGAGCAACGCCCGCGUGAAUGACGAAGUACUUCGGUAUGUAAAGUUCUUUUAUUAAGGAAGAAAGUGCAGUGGAAAAACUGUAUAGACGGUACUUAUUGAAUAAGCCCCGGCUAACUAUGUGCCAGCAGCAGC